UACGGAGGGUGCAAGCAUUAAUCGGAUUUAUUGGGCGUAAAGGGCGCGUAGGCGGGUUAGUAAGUCGAGUGUGAAACUCCAAAGCUCAACUUUGGAACUGCACUUGAAACUGCUAGUCUGGAGGGUUGGCGGAGAAAAUGGAAUUCCACAUGUAGCGGUGAAAUGCGUAGAUAUGUGGAAGAACACCGGUGGCGAAAGCGGUUUUCUAGCUUAUACCUGACGCUGAGGCGCGAGAGCAAGGGGAGCAAACAGG
RNAcentral lists this ribosomal RNA (253 nucleotides) under uncultured bacterium. RNAcentral describes it as "partial 16S ribosomal RNA". It matches the Rfam family "Bacterial small subunit ribosomal RNA", at positions 524 to 776 of the family's 1533-position model. The record is from RNAcentral.